AGAGACAGCAGCAGCCACGGUAAUACGUAGGGUGCGAGCGUUAAUCGGAAUUACUGGGCGUAAAGGGCGCGCAGGCGGCUUCUUAAGUCUGUCUUAAAAGUGCGGGGCUUAACCCCGUGAUGGGAUGGAAACUGGGAAGCUCAGAGUAUCGGAGAGGAAAGCGGAAUUCCUAGUGUAGCGGUGAAAUGCGUAGAUAUUAGGAGGAACACCGGUGGCGAAGGCGGCUUUUUGGCCUGUAACUGACACUGAGGCGCGAAAGCGUGGGGAGCAAACAGGAUUAGAGACCCCUGUAGUCCCUGUCUCUUAUAC
This 309-nucleotide ribosomal RNA is filed under the name uncultured bacterium. RNAcentral describes it as "partial 16S ribosomal RNA". It matches the Rfam family "Bacterial small subunit ribosomal RNA", at positions 504 to 807 of the family's 1533-position model. The record is from RNAcentral.